Molecule: ribosomal RNA, 529 nt
Filed under: uncultured bacterium
Lineage: Bacteria
Description: bacterial SSU rRNA
Rfam family: Bacterial small subunit ribosomal RNA
Source: RNAcentral
AAUAGAUACCCCGGUAGUCCACGCCGUAAACGAUGAGUGCUAAGUGUUAGGGGGUUUCCGCCCCUUAGUGCUGCAGCUAACGCAUUAAGCACUCCGCCUGGGGAGUACGGUCGCAAGACUGAAACUCAAAGGAAUUGACGGGGGCCCGCACAAGCGGUGGAGCAUGUGGUUUAAUUCGAAGCAACGCGAAGAACCUUACCAGGUCUUGACAUCCCGCUGACCGCUAUGGAGACAUAGCCUUCCCUUCGGGGACAGCGGUGACAGGUGGUGCAUGGUUGUCGUCAGCUCGUGUCGUGAGAUGUUGGGUUAAGUCCCGCAACGAGCGCAACCCUUGAGAUUAGUUGCCAUCAUUCAGUUGGGCACUCUAAUCUGACUGCCGGUGAUAAACCGGAGGAAGGUGGGGAUGACGUCAAAUCAUCAUGCCCCUUAUGACCUGGGCUACACACGUGCUACAAUGGACGGUACAAACGGUUGCCAACCCGCGAGGGGGAGCCAAUCCGAUAAAACCGUUCUCAGUUCGGAUUGUAGG